AUUGAACGCUGGCGGAAUGCUUUACACAUGCAAGUCGAACGGCAGCGGACCUUCGGGUGCCGGCGAGUGGCGAACGGGUGAGUAAUAUAUCGGAACGUACCUUUCAGUGGGGGAUAACGGUAGCGAAAGUUACGCUAAUACCGCAUAUUCUGUGAGCAGGAAAGCAGGGGAUCGCAAGACCUUGCGCUGAUUGAGCGGCCGAUAUCAGGAUUAGCUAGUUGGUGAGGUAAGGCUCACCAAGGCGACGAUCUGUAGCGGGUCUGAGAGGAUGAUCCGCCACACUGGAACUGAGACACGGUCCAGACUCCUACGGGAGGCAGCAGUGGGGAAUUUUGGACAAUGGGCGCAAGCCUGAUCCAGCCAUGCCGCGUGAGUG
RNAcentral lists this ribosomal RNA (376 nucleotides) under uncultured bacterium. RNAcentral describes it as "bacterial SSU rRNA". It matches the Rfam family "Bacterial small subunit ribosomal RNA", at positions 30 to 407 of the family's 1533-position model. The record is from RNAcentral.